AGAUAGCAAUCAUCCUGGUUGUUAAUCUUCAGCAAAGCUCAUGGGAAAGCAGUGUCUGGAUGCUAUGGGAGCAGUUGACCAGAUCCUUUGAAAGACCACG
This is a long non-coding RNA of Lagopus leucura (white-tailed ptarmigan), 100 nucleotides long. RefSeq lists it as uncharacterized. The record is from RefSeq and is a predicted model, not a curated record. The transcript is spliced from 3 exons. NCBI's taxonomy places the organism in Eukaryota, Metazoa, Chordata, Aves, Galliformes, Phasianidae.